This 171-nucleotide transfer RNA is filed under the name Streptococcus salivarius SK126. Its description in RNAcentral is "tRNA-Ser". The stretch from base 2 to 75 matches the Rfam family "tRNA". Lineage: Bacteria; Bacillati; Bacillota; Bacilli; Lactobacillales; Streptococcaceae. The record is from RNAcentral.
UGGGCGCGUAGCUCAGAUGGUUAGAGCGCACGCCUGAUAAGCGUGAGGUCGGUGGUUCGAUUCCACUCGUGCCCAUAUUGGAGAAUUACUCAAGAGGCUGAAGAGGACGGUUUGCUAAAUCGUUAGGUCGGGUAACCGGCGCGGGGGUUCGAAUCCCCCAUUCUCCGUAGU